RNAcentral lists this ribosomal RNA (253 nucleotides) under uncultured bacterium. RNAcentral describes it as "partial 16S ribosomal RNA". It matches the Rfam family "Bacterial small subunit ribosomal RNA", at positions 524 to 776 of the family's 1533-position model. The record is from RNAcentral.
UACGUAGGGGGCUAGCGUUGUCCGGAAUCAUUGGGCGUAAAGCGCGUGUAGGCGGUUCGGUAAGUCCGCUGUGAAAGUCGGGGGCUCAACCCUCGGAAGCCGGUGGAUACUGUCGAGCUAGAGUACGGAAGAGGCGAGUGGAAUUCCUGGUGUAGCGGUGAAAUGCGUAGAUAUCUGGAGGAAUACCGGUGGCGAAGGCGGCAUCCUGGACCGGCAUUGACGCUGAUGAGCGAAAGCUAGGGGAGCAAACGGG